AUCUCAACCUUAUUCCUCAUAAAAUGCAAAUUGUCCCCGUUUAGAAAAUUUCCAAAUUAUCUUCUAAUCAAGAUCAAGAUUCUAUAACAAUUCAAGAUUUCAAACUGAAAUCAAUCCAAUUCUUGUUCAAUUUCAGUCCGGGCGACAGAAAAUGAAGCAGAAGAAGAAGCGACUCCACGCCAGCUUUAAGAACGUUUAAGGUGGGCAUUACUUU
Salvia miltiorrhiza (redroot sage) is the source of this 214-nucleotide long non-coding RNA. RefSeq lists it as uncharacterized. The record is from RefSeq and is a predicted model, not a curated record. The transcript has 3 exons. Lineage: Eukaryota; Viridiplantae; Streptophyta; Magnoliopsida; Lamiales; Lamiaceae.